GUUAGGAAUAUUGGACAAUGGGCGAAAGCCUGAUCCAGCCAUGCCGCGUGAACGAUGAAGGCCUUCGGGUUGUAAAGUUCUUUAGCCGAUGAUUAUAAUGACUGUAGUCGGAAAAUAAGCCCCGGCUAACUUCGUGCUAGCAGCCGCGGUAAUACGAAGGGGGCGAGCGUUAUUCGGAAUCACUGGGCGUAAAGCGUGCGUAGGCGGUUUUGUAAGUUAGGAGUGAAAGCCCAGGGCUCAACCUUGGAAUUGCUCUUAAAACUGCAAGGCUCGAAUCUCGGAGAGGAUAGCGGAAUUUCCAGUGUAGCAGUGACAUGCGUAGAUAUUGGAAGGAACACCAGUGGCGUAAGCGGCUAUCUGGACGAGUAUUGACGCUGAGGCACGAAAGCGUGGGGAUCAAACAGGAUUAGAUACCCGUGUAGUCC
Molecule: ribosomal RNA, 425 nt
Filed under: uncultured bacterium
Lineage: Bacteria
Description: partial 16S ribosomal RNA
Rfam family: Bacterial small subunit ribosomal RNA
Source: RNAcentral